RNAcentral lists this ribosomal RNA (742 nucleotides) under uncultured Oomycota. Its description in RNAcentral is "SSU rRNA". It matches the Rfam family "Eukaryotic small subunit ribosomal RNA", at positions 312 to 1044 of the family's 1831-position model. Lineage: Eukaryota; Oomycota. The record is from RNAcentral.
CUAUCAGCUUUGGAUGGUAGGAUAUGGGCCUACCAUGGCGUUAACGGGUAACGGGGAAUUAGGGUUUGAUUCCGGAGAGGGAGCCUGAGAAACGGCUACCACAUCCAAGGAAGGCAGCAGGCGCGUAAAUUACCCAACCCUAAUUCAGGGAGGUAGUGACAAUAAAUAACAAUGCCGGGCUUUAUAAGUCUGGCAAUUGGAAUGAGAACAAUUUAAAUCCCUUAUCGAGGAUCAAUUGGAGGGCAAGUCUGGUGCCAGCAGCCGCGGUAAUUCCAGCUCCAAUAGCGUAUAUUAAAGUUGUUGCAGUUAAAAAGCUCGUAGUUGGAUUUCUGAAUUGAAUAUCCGGUCCGCUCGUCUCUGAUGAGUGCGUACUUAUGGAUAUUUGACUCAUUUUUUGUGAGGACAUUUAUCUGUCAUUAAGUUGAUGGAUUUAUAGACUUGCAUCGUUUACUGUGAGAAAAUUAGAGUGUUUAAAGCAGGCGUUCGCCCAUUUGAAUACAUUAGCAUGGAAUAAUAAGAUAUGACUUUGGUGGUCUAUUUUGUUGGUUUGCACACCAGAGUAAUGAUUAAUAGGGACAGUUGGGGGUAUUCAUAUUUCAACGUCAGAGGUGAAAUUCUUAGAUCGUUGAAAGAUGACCUUAGGCGAAAGCAUUUACCAUGGAUGUUUUCAUUAAUCAAGAACGAAAGUUAGGGGAUCGAAGAUGAUUAGAUACCAUCGUAGUCUUAACCAUAAACUAUGCCG